RNAcentral lists this ribosomal RNA (446 nucleotides) under uncultured bacterium. Its description in RNAcentral is "partial 16S ribosomal RNA". It matches the Rfam family "Bacterial small subunit ribosomal RNA", at positions 338 to 795 of the family's 1533-position model. The record is from RNAcentral.
CCUACGGGUGGCAGCAGUCGAGAAUCAUUCACAAUGGGGGAAACCCUGAUGGUGCGACGCCGCGUGAGGGAAUGAAGGUCUUCGGAUUGUAAACCCCUGUCAUGUGGGAGCAAAUUAUAAAGAUAGUACUACAAGUGGAAGAGACGGCUAACUCUGUGCAAGCAGCCGCGGUAAUACAGAGGUCUCAAGCGUUGUUCGGAGUCACUGGGCGUAAUGCGUGCGUAGGCUGUUUCGUAAGUCGUGUGUGAAAGGCGGGGGCUCAACCCGCGGACGGCAGAUGAUACUGCGAGACUAGAGUGAGGGAGGGGGAGGCGGAAUUCUCGGUGUAGCAGUGAAAUGCGGAGAUAUCGAGAGGAACACUCGUGGCGAAGGCGGGUUCCUGGACAUUAACUGACGCUGAGGCACGAAGGCCAGGGGAGCGAAAGGGAUUAGAUACCCGAGUAGUC